GGUGGCUAUAGUGCCGGGGCUCCACCUCUUCCCAUUCCGAACAGAGAAGUUAAGCCCGGCCGCGCCGAUGGUACUGCGUGACAGUGGGAGAGUAGGUAGCCGCCGU
RNAcentral lists this ribosomal RNA (106 nucleotides) under uncultured Bacteroides sp. Lineage: Bacteria; Pseudomonadati; Bacteroidota; Bacteroidia; Bacteroidales; Bacteroidaceae. The record is from RNAcentral.